GAUUUGUGCCAUGAGGACUAGAAACCUGGAAACCUACGUUUCCCAGCUACUCCAUCUCCCCACACCGCAGGCUUUCUGUUAUGUUCUGAUGAUGAACUACUGCAGGAACAUAUCAGGAAAGCCAAGAGAAUCCACAGACCCUUUGAAGGAACUGUACCACCCCUGCAGACUCCCUGAGAUGCCAAAAACUGUGAAUCUGCUUGCUUUCUCAACUGGGAGGCUCAUGGUCUGGGCUUAACUCCCACUUAUAAGUGAAAAUACGUAAUGGUCUCCAACUCCAUCCAGGUGUCUGUGAAUGCCAUUAUUUCAUUCCUUUAUAUAGGUUCCCCAGUGAGGAUUGUCAGGCCUCUGAGCCCAAGCUAAGCCAUCAUAUCCCCUGUGACCUGCACGUAUACAUCCAGAUGGCCUGAAGCAACUGAAGAUCCACAGAAGAAGUGAAAAUAGCCAGUUCCUGCCUUAACUGAUGACAUUCCACCAUUGUAAUUUGUUCCUGCCCCACCCUAACUGAUCAAUUGACUUUGUGACAAUACACCCUCCCUACCCUUGCGGUAAUGUAAUUUGUGAUAUUCCCUCACCCUUGUGAAGGUACUUUGUACUAUACACCCUCCCCACCCUUGAGAAGGUACUUUGUAAUAUUCUCCCCUGCCCUUAGGAAUGUACUUUGUAAGAUCCACCCCCUGCCCACAAAAAAUUGCUCCUAACUCCACCGCCUAUCCCAAACCUGUAAGAACUAAUGAUAAUCCCACC
Molecule: long non-coding RNA, 747 nt
Filed under: Homo sapiens (human)
Lineage: Eukaryota; Metazoa; Chordata; Mammalia; Primates; Hominidae
Description: HSALNT0320549
Source: RNAcentral